RNA transcript from Dreissena polymorpha, 671 nucleotides. RefSeq lists it as uncharacterized. The transcript has 9 exons. Lineage: Eukaryota; Metazoa; Mollusca; Bivalvia; Myida; Dreissenidae. The record is from RefSeq and is a predicted model, not a curated record.
AGGUUGGAGACUACAUGAGACUUUGACAGAUGGCGGGAAACCCUUCUCAACUGGUACGAAGCCGGCAGAGAAAUGUCUGGGACUUAGCCGAGGGCAACUGGAGAAGGGUUGUUGAUGGCAAAACAGGCAGAGAAAUGUCUGGGACUUAGCCGAGGGCAACUGGAGAAGGGUUGUUGAUGGCAAAACAGGUUGGAGACUACAUGAGACUUUGACAGAUGGCGGGAAACCCUUCUCAACUGGCAGAGAAAUGUCUGGGACUUAGCCGAGGGCAACUGGAGAAGGGUUGUUGAUGGCAAAACAGGUUGGAGACUACAUGAGACUUUGACAGAUGGCGGGAAACCCUUCUCAACUGGUACGAAGCCGGUAAAUAGAUGGCCAUAAAACAGUGACCGCUGAUUCGCGUCGAGUUCUUUCUUGCAUAACGCAGAGAAAUGUCUGGGACUUAGCCGAGGGCAACUGGAGAAGGGUUGUUGAUGGCAAAACAGGUUGGAGACUACAUGAGACUUUGACAGAUGGCGGGAAACCCUUCUCAACUGGUACGAAGCCGGUAAAUAGAUGGCCAUAAAACAGUGACCGCUGAUUCGCGUCGAGUUCUUUCUUGCAUAACGCAGAGAAAUGUCUGGGACUUAGCCGAGGGCAACUGGAGAAGGGUUGUUGAUGGCAAAACAGGU